RNAcentral lists this ribosomal RNA (440 nucleotides) under uncultured bacterium. Its description in RNAcentral is "partial 16S ribosomal RNA". It matches the Rfam family "Bacterial small subunit ribosomal RNA", at positions 338 to 795 of the family's 1533-position model. The record is from RNAcentral.
CCUACGGGUGGCAGCAGUGGGGAAUAUUGCACAAUGGGGGAAACCCUGAUGCAGCGACGCCGCGUGAGUGAAGAAGUAUUUCGGUAUGUAAAGCUCUAUCAGCAGGGAAGAAAAUGACGGUACCUGACUAAGAAGCCCCGGCUAACUACGUGCCAGCAGCCGCGGUAAUACGUCGGGGGUAAGCGUUAUCCGGAUUUACUGGGGGUAAAGGGAGCGUAGACGGCAGAGCAAGUCUGAAGUGAAAGCCCGCGGCGCAACGGCGGGACUGCUUUGGAAACUGCCCGGCUAGAGUGCUGGAGAGGGAAGCGGAAUUCCUGGUGUAGCGGUGAAAUGCGUAGAGAUUAGGAGGAACACCAGUGGCGAAGGCGGCUUACUGGACAGUAACUGGCGUUGAGGCUCGAAAGCGUGGGGAACAAACAGGAUUAGAUACCCGAGUAGUC